This 617-nucleotide ribosomal RNA is filed under the name bacterium KHN36A. RNAcentral's name for it is "bacterial SSU rRNA". It matches the Rfam family "Bacterial small subunit ribosomal RNA", at positions 43 to 651 of the family's 1533-position model. The record is from RNAcentral. Lineage: Bacteria; Pseudomonadati; Bacteroidota.
CAGGCUUAACACAUGCAAGUCGAGGGGUAACAGGGAAAAGCUUGCUUUUUUGCUGACGACCGGCGAACGGGUGCGUAACGCGUAUAGAAUCUGCCUUGUNCAGGAGGAUAGCCUUUANAAAUGAAGAUUAAUACUCCAUAAUGUAGAGUAGUGGCAUCGCUAUUUUAUUAAAGAUUUAUUGGUACAAGAUGACUAUGCGUCCUAUUAGCUAGAUGGUAAGGUAACGGCUUACCAUGGCGACGAUAGGUAGGGGGUCUGAGAGGAUUAUCCCCCACACUGGUACUGAGACACGGACCAGACUCCUACGGGAGGCAGCAGUGAGGAAUAUUGGUCAAUGGAGGCAACUCUGAACCAGCCAUGCCGCGUGCAGGAAGACUGCCCUAUGGGUUGUAAACUGCUUUUAUACAGGAAGAAACAGAUCUACGUGUAGGUCCUUGACGGUACUGUAAGAAUAAGCACCGGCUAACUCCGUGCCAGCAGCCGCGGUAAUACGGAGGGUGCAAGCGUUAUCCGGAAUCAUUGGGUUUAAAGGGUCCGCAGGCGGUCAAUUAAGUCAGAGGUGAAAUCCCAUAGCUUAACUAUGGAACUGCCUUUGAUACUGGUUGACUUGAGUUAUA